AACGAACGCUGGCGGCAUGCCUAACACAUGCAAGUCGAACGAGAUCUUCGGGUCUAGUGGCGCACGGGUGCGUAACGCGUGGGAAUCUGCCCUUUGGUUCGGAAUAACAGUUGGCAACGACUGCUAAUACCGGAUGAUGACGAAAGUCCAAAGAUUUAUCGCCAGAGGAUGAGCCCGCGUAGGAUUAGCUAGUUGGUGUGGUAAAGGCGCGCCAAGGCGACGAUCCUUAGCUGGUCUGAGAGGAUGAUCAGCCACACUGGGACUGAGACACGGCCCAGACCCCUACGGGAGGCAGCAGUGGGGAAUAUUGGACAAUGGGCGAAAGCCUGAUCCAGCAAUGCCGCGUGAGUGAUGAAGGCCUUAGGGUUGUAAAGCUCUUUUACCCGGGAUGAUAAUGACAGUACCGGGAGAAUAAGCUCCGGCUAACUCCGUGCCAGCCGCCGCCGUAA
Molecule: ribosomal RNA, 449 nt
Filed under: uncultured bacterium
Lineage: Bacteria
Description: partial 16S ribosomal RNA
Rfam family: Bacterial small subunit ribosomal RNA
Source: RNAcentral